Molecule: long non-coding RNA, 273 nt
Filed under: Rattus norvegicus (Norway rat)
Lineage: Eukaryota; Metazoa; Chordata; Mammalia; Rodentia; Muridae
Description: long non-coding RNA NONRATT009257
Source: RNAcentral
UUUUUUUUUUUUUCUUACAGAAUAUUCAGUCGAGUCUGCUGGAAAAGCUCUAUCGAAACCGAUCCAACUUGGAGACCAUUUUUAGGAUCAUAGACAGCGACCAUUCAGGUAAACUCACUCAUUGCCCUGACACGUUCCACGCACAGGGAUUAUUUCUCCUCAGACCCUUUAGUUUUCUUCACAGUUCUCACCUCUUGAGUUGCAUGCAGCUGUUGAGUUGUCCCCAGCAGUGUCAGAAAAACUACUCUCUGUUUUGUUUUGAGACACGGUUUC